UUACGGCCACAUCAAUUUGAAAGACUGGUUUCCGUGCGAUCAUUGAAGUUAAGAAACCUCGAGCUUGGUCAGUACCAGAUGGGUAACCGCUUGGAAAUGCCAGGUGUUGUAAG
This is a non-coding RNA of Acanthosepion pharaonis, 113 nucleotides long. The record is from the annotation of a GenBank genome assembly. NCBI's taxonomy places the organism in Eukaryota, Metazoa, Mollusca, Cephalopoda, Sepiida, Sepiidae.